UGGCGAACGGGUGAGUAAUAUAUCGGAACGUACCCAGUAGCGGGGGAUAACUACUCGAAAGAGUAGCUAAUACCGCAUACGCCCUACGGGGGAAAGGGGGGGAUCGCAAGACCUCUCACUAUUGGAGCGGCCGAUAUCGGAUUAGCUAGUUGGUGGGGUAAAGGCUCACCAAGGCGACGAUCCGUAGCUGGUUUGAGAGGACGACCAGCCACACUGGGACUGAGACACGGCCCAGACUCC
Molecule: ribosomal RNA, 240 nt
Filed under: uncultured bacterium
Lineage: Bacteria
Description: partial 16S ribosomal RNA
Rfam family: Bacterial small subunit ribosomal RNA
Source: RNAcentral